RNAcentral lists this ribosomal RNA (254 nucleotides) under uncultured bacterium. RNAcentral describes it as "partial 16S ribosomal RNA". It matches the Rfam family "Bacterial small subunit ribosomal RNA", at positions 524 to 776 of the family's 1533-position model. The record is from RNAcentral.
UACGUAGGGUGCGAGCGUUGUCCGGAAUUAUUGGGCGUAAAGAGCUCGUAGGCGGUCUGUCGCGUCGGUCGUGAAAACUUGGGGCUUAACCCUGAGCUUGCGGUCGAUACGGGCAUGACUGGAGUUCGGUAGGGGAGACUGGAAUUCCUGGUGUAGCGGUGAAAUGCGCAGAUAUCAGGAGGAACACCGGUGGCGAAGGCGGUUCUCUGGGCAUUACCUGACGCUGAGGAGCGAAAGUGUGGGGAGCGAACAGG